Molecule: ribosomal RNA, 2925 nt
Filed under: Escherichia coli
Lineage: Bacteria; Pseudomonadati; Pseudomonadota; Gammaproteobacteria; Enterobacterales; Enterobacteriaceae
Description: 23S ribosomal RNA
Rfam family: Bacterial large subunit ribosomal RNA
Source: RNAcentral
GGGUUGUGAGGUUAAGCGACUAAGCGUACACGGUGGAUGCCCUGGCAGUCAGAGGCGAUGAAGGACGUGCUAAUCUGCGAUAAGCGUCGGUAAGGUGAUAUGAACCGUUAUAACCGGCGAUUUCCGAAUGGGGAAACCCAGUGUGAUUCGUCACACUAUCAUUAACUGAAUCCAUAGGUUAAUGAGGCGAACCGGGGGAACUGAAACAUCUAAGUACCCCGAGGAAAAGAAAUCAACCGAGAUUCCCCCAGUAGCGGCGAGCGAACGGGGAGCAGCCCAGAGCCUGAAUCAGUGUGUGUGUUAGUGGAAGCGUCUGGAAAGGCGUGCGAUACAGGGUGACAGCCCCGUACACAAAAAUGCACAUGCUGUGAGCUCGAUGAGUAGGGCGGGACACGUGGUAUCCUGUCUGAAUAUGGGGGGACCAUCCUCCAAGGCUAAAUACUCCUGACUGACCGAUAGUGAACCAGUACCGUGAGGGAAAGGCGAAAAGAACCCCGGCGAGGGGAGUGAAAAAGAACCUGAAACCGUGUACGUACAAGCAGUGGGAGCACGCUUAGGCGUGUGACUGCGUACCUUUUGUAUAAUGGGUCAGCGACUUAUAUUCUGUAGCAAGGUUAACCGAAUAGGGGAGCCGAAGGGAAACCGAGUCUUAACUGGGCGUUAAGUUGCAGGGUAUAGACCCGAAACCCGGUGAUCUAGCCAUGGGCAGGUUGAAGGUUGGGUAACACUAACUGGAGGACCGAACCGACUAAUGUUGAAAAAUUAGCGGAUGACUUGUGGCUGGGGGUGAAAGGCCAAUCAAACCGGGAGAUAGCUGGUUCUCCCCGAAAGCUAUUUAGGUAGCGCCUCGUGAAUUCAUCUCCGGGGGUAGAGCACUGUUUCGGCAAGGGGGUCAUCCCGACUUACCAACCCGAUGCAAACUGCGAAUACCGGAGAAUGUUAUCACGGGAGACACACGGCGGGUGCUAACGUCCGUCGUGAAGAGGGAAACAACCCAGACCGCCAGCUAAGGUCCCAAAGUCAUGGUUAAGUGGGAAACGAUGUGGGAAGGCCCAGACAGCCAGGAUGUUGGCUUAGAAGCAGCCAUCAUUUAAAGAAAGCGUAAUAGCUCACUGGUCGAGUCGGCCUGCGCGGAAGAUGUAACGGGGCUAAACCAUGCACCGAAGCUGCGGCAGCGACGCUUAUGCGUUGUUGGGUAGGGGAGCGUUCUGUAAGCCUGUGAAGGUGUACUGUGAGGUAUGCUGGAGGUAUCAGAAGUGCGAAUGCUGACAUAAGUAACGAUAAAGCGGGUGAAAAGCCCGCUCGCCGGAAGACCAAGGGUUCCUGUCCAACGUUAAUCGGGGCAGGGUGAGUCGACCCCUAAGGCGAGGCCGAAAGGCGUAGUCGAUGGGAAACAGGUUAAUAUUCCUGUACUUGGUGUUACUGCGAAGGGGGGACGGAGAAGGCUAUGUUGGCCGGGCGACGGUUGUCCCGGUUUAAGCGUGUAGGCUGGUUUUCCAGGCAAAUCCGGAAAAUCAAGGCUGAGGCGUGAUGACGAGGCACUACGGUGCUGAAGCAACAAAUGCCCUGCUUCCAGGAAAAGCCUCUAAGCAUCAGGUAACAUCAAAUCGUACCCCAAACCGACACAGGUGGUCAGGUAGAGAAUACCAAGGCGCUUGAGAGAACUCGGGUGAAGGAACUAGGCAAAAUGGUGCCGUAACUUCGGGAGAAGGCACGCUGAUAUGUAGGUGAAGUCCCUCGCGGAUGGAGCUGAAAUCAGUCGAAGAUACCAGCUGGCUGCAACUGUUUAUUAAAAACACAGCACUGUGCAAACACGAAAGUGGACGUAUACGGUGUGACGCCUGCCCGGUGCCGGAAGGUUAAUUGAUGGGGUUAGCGCAAGCGAAGCUCUUGAUCGAAGCCCCGGUAAACGGCGGCCGUAACUAUAACGGUCCUAAGGUAGCGAAAUUCCUUGUCGGGUAAGUUCCGACCUGCACGAAUGGCGUAAUGAUGGCCAGGCUGUCUCCACCCGAGACUCAGUGAAAUUGAACUCGCUGUGAAGAUGCAGUGUACCCGCGGCAAGACGGAAAGACCCCGUGAACCUUUACUAUAGCUUGACACUGAACAUUGAGCCUUGAUGUGUAGGAUAGGUGGGAGGCUUUGAAGUGUGGACGCCAGUCUGCAUGGAGCCGACCUUGAAAUACCACCCUUUAAUGUUUGAUGUUCUAACGUUGACCCGUAAUCCGGGUUGCGGACAGUGUCUGGUGGGUAGUUUGACUGGGGCGGUCUCCUCCUAAAGAGUAACGGAGGAGCACGAAGGUUGGCUAAUCCUGGUCGGACAUCAGGAGGUUAGUGCAAUGGCAUAAGCCAGCUUGACUGCGAGCGUGACGGCGCGAGCAGGUGCGAAAGCAGGUCAUAGUGAUCCGGUGGUUCUGAAUGGAAGGGCCAUCGCUCAACGGAUAAAAGGUACUCCGGGGAUAACAGGCUGAUACCGCCCAAGAGUUCAUAUCGACGGCGGUGUUUGGCACCUCGAUGUCGGCUCAUCACAUCCUGGGGCUGAAGUAGGUCCCAAGGGUAUGGCUGUUCGCCAUUUAAAGUGGUACGCGAGCUGGGUUUAGAACGUCGUGAGACAGUUCGGUCCCUAUCUGCCGUGGGCGCUGGAGAAUUGAGGGGGGCUGCUCCUAGUACGAGAGGACCGGAGUGGACGCAUCACUGGUGUUCGGGUUGUCAUGCCAAUGGCACUGCCCGGUAGCUAAAUGCGGAAGAGAUAAGUGCUGAAAGCAUCUAAGCACGAAACUUGCCCCGAGAUGAGUUCUCCCUGACUCCUUGAGAGUCCUGAAGGAACGUUGAAGACGACGACGUUGAUAGGCCGGGUGUGUAAGCGCAGCGAUGCGUUGAGCUAACCGGUACUAAUGAACCGUGAGGCUUAACCUUACAACGCCGAAG